AAAGUUGCAGCUGGAGCAUGGACUGGCGGUUGAUAGAGUGUAUACAGGAUCAUUUAUGACUUCUCUUGAUAUGGCAGGUUUCUCGAUUUCCAUCAUGAAAGCGGAUCAAGCUAUUUUGCAACUUUUGGAUGCUCUAACUAAAGCUCCAGCUUGGCCUGUUGGUGUUGACGGUAGUCAUCCACCACCCAAGAUUCCUGUUCCAGUCCCUCCAUCUCGUUCUACUAAGAGUGAUGAGGAACUUGUUACUGCUUAGGUUGUCAUCUUGGCUUGCCUUGUCCAUGGGUUUGUUACAGUCUUAGUUGCUAGUGAAGGUCAUGCAAUAACUCUGGCUGUUGAGGGUUUGUUAGGAGUUGUGUUUACAGUGGCUGCAUUAACAGAUGAAGCAAUGAAUGUUGGUGAGGUUCAGAUCACUUCCAGGACUUGUCAACCAGACCCAAAGGGAUAUCAUAGAAUGUGAGAAUUUUGUCUUCCAGACAAGUGCACAAAGGAUGAUGAAUUGAAGGAUGGAGCAAGUUUCAUGCAUGGUUUACUUUUGUGUAUCUUGUAAUGUUUUUGUUUUUCAUUUUUGAAGUAAAAAAUGUUCAAGAAACUUUAUUAUGUUAUGCUUUCAAACUUAAGUUAGAACUAAG
Humulus lupulus (European hop) is the source of this 629-nucleotide long non-coding RNA. RefSeq lists it as uncharacterized. The transcript is spliced from 5 exons. The record is from RefSeq and is a predicted model, not a curated record. Lineage: Eukaryota; Viridiplantae; Streptophyta; Magnoliopsida; Rosales; Cannabaceae.